GUCCCCGUCGAUUAGUGGUUAGAUCAUCACGUUGUGGUUUCCCUGUCUUGUGGAUAGUAAAUUUAGCAACCGUGGAGACGCAGGCUCGACUCCUGCCAGGGACA
Rhodocollybia butyracea is the source of this 104-nucleotide non-coding RNA. The record is from the annotation of a GenBank genome assembly. Lineage: Eukaryota; Fungi; Basidiomycota; Agaricomycetes; Agaricales; Omphalotaceae.